Molecule: regulatory RNA element, 109 nt
Organism: Streptomyces sp. CdTB01
Lineage: Bacteria; Bacillati; Actinomycetota; Actinomycetes; Kitasatosporales; Streptomycetaceae
Rfam family: SAM (S-adenosyl methionine) riboswitch aptamer
About the family: SAM-IV is a mRNA element that regulates gene expression via direct sensing of S-adenosylmethionine (SAM or AdoMet). SAM-IV riboswitches share conserved nucleotide positions with the previously described SAM-I riboswitches sequence analysis and molecular recognition experiments suggest that SAM-I and SAM-IV riboswitches share similar ligand binding sites, but have different scaffolds.
Source: Rfam
GGUCAUGAGUGUCAGCGACAAGCCCUGGCUUGCUGACCGGCAACCCUCGCACCGCGGUGGGGUGCCCCAGGUGACGACCCGGCCGAUGACCCAUCGGCAAGCGCGAGGC